CUCUACCAUAUCCUGGCUCCCAAGGUGCUUCCCAACUCAGGAAGCAAACAACAGUGACAAUGUCUCCCACUUAUGUAGAUCAAGAAGUAAGAGCAUUCUCAGUGAGGACAGCCAACACUGUCCACCCCGGGUAAGCACAGCCACUGACCAAGGGAAACCAGAAGGUUCCACCACCUGUCCCCACCAUGGCAUCUGGGACACCAGCCACUGUCCACUGUCUGACUCACAGAGCAGAUCUUCUUUCCCCAGCCCUCAGUUGCUGGAGGUCCUCACCUCUUCCCGGCCACAGGAGACCAGGUCACAGGCCCCACAACAACUCUCCUUGAGUGUGAGGCAAGUAUUGCAACUCACACUUCCUGUUUCCUCUCAGAGGGCUCUGCGGGAACUGGGGACUCAGAGCCACAACUGUGCUGUCAAGUGUGUGUCCUUAGUGCCUCGUGCAACAGACAAGGAGCUUCGCCUCCCCCGCCCUUAGCCUGCUCACCUACAUUCUGCCCACUAUAGAGAGAGGUCAAGGGUGCCACUGAGCUCUCAACUGUAGCUCCCAGCACAGACCCAAACAAGGAAGGGCCACACCCUUCCACCUUGUCUAGCAUCAUCGGAACCUGCUCUGGCCUUCAGUGGAAGGGAUUCCAUUCAAAGCAGUGAGGGGUGCAGGUCCUGGGGUCUCUGCAUCCCCUUCUACCCUGCACUCUUGUCCUUUAAUCUGUCAGAUGAAUUCAGACAAGACACAGGCAUUGGACAGGAGAGUGGCAGGUUUCUUAGAGAAACAAGGGAGGCCCGGGAGUGAGGGUGGGCAUCAGCCAAAGGGCCCACUGCAGAUGGAAGGCCCUCAAGGGGUGGACAAUGGCCAGAGGACCACGGGCUGCAUGGUUAGGUAGGCUGGGUACUAUGUUCUAAAGUCUGCACAGACAGCCUUCCUGAGGCGUGGUUUCCUGCUCAGGAGAUUGACAGACCAUGUGGGUUGACUAAGGAGGGGAAAAGUGUAUACCUUUGUUCUUUAUCAGAAAGUGUUGGGGCCGGCCUGUGGCUCUCAUGUCUGGAUUAGAGCCUGGGAUGCAUCUUGGAACUGAAAGAAAAGAGAGAAUCUAGGCGGGUAGAGAGA
This 1105-nucleotide long non-coding RNA is filed under the name Mus spicilegus (steppe mouse). Its description in RNAcentral is "lncRNA (ENSMSIG00000025055.1)". Lineage: Eukaryota; Metazoa; Chordata; Mammalia; Rodentia; Muridae. The record is from RNAcentral.